RNAcentral lists this ribosomal RNA (427 nucleotides) under uncultured bacterium. RNAcentral's name for it is "partial 16S ribosomal RNA". It matches the Rfam family "Bacterial small subunit ribosomal RNA", at positions 355 to 774 of the family's 1533-position model. The record is from RNAcentral.
AGGGGAAUAUUGGACAAUGGGCGAAAGCCUGAUCCAGCCAUGCCGCGUGUGUGAAGAAGGGCUUCGGAUUGUAAAGCACUUUAAGUUGGGAGGAAGGGCAUUAACCUAAUACGUUAGUGUUUUGACGUUACCGACAGAAUAAGCACCGGCUAACUCUGUGCCAGCAGCCGCGGUAAUACAGAGGGUGCAAGCGUUAAUCGGAAUUACUGGGCGUAAAGCGCGCGUAGGUGGUUUGUUAAGUUGGAUGUGAAAUCCCCGGGCUCAACCUGGGAACUGCAUUCAAAACUGACUGACUAGAGUAUGGUAGAGGGUGGUGGAAUUUCCUGUGUAGCGGUGAAAUGCGUAGAUAUAGGAAGGAACACCAGUGGCGAAGGCGACCACCUGGACUAAUACUGACACUGAGGUGCGAAAGCGUGGGGAGCAAACA